GCCUACCUACGGGGCGCAGCAGUGAGGAAUAUUGGUCAAUGGGCGGAAGCCCGAACCAGCCAAGUCGCGUGAGGGAAUAAGGCCCUACGGGUCGUAAACCUCUUUUGCCGGGGAGCAAGGGCCGGGACGCGUCCCGGCCCGGAGAGUACCCGGAGAAAAAGCAUCGGCUAACUCCGUGCCAGCAGCCGCGGUAAUACGGAGGAUGCGAGCGUUAAUCGGAAUUACUGGGCGUAAAGGGUGCGCAGGCGGUUGAGUAAGACAGAUGUGAAA
This 270-nucleotide ribosomal RNA is filed under the name uncultured bacterium. RNAcentral describes it as "partial 16S ribosomal RNA". It matches the Rfam family "Bacterial small subunit ribosomal RNA", at positions 331 to 599 of the family's 1533-position model. The record is from RNAcentral.